This 4924-nucleotide long non-coding RNA is filed under the name Olea europaea subsp. europaea. Lineage: Eukaryota; Viridiplantae; Streptophyta; Magnoliopsida; Lamiales; Oleaceae. The record is from RNAcentral.
CUUACACACGCACAAAUGCACGCUUCACCAAUUUCAUUUUCUUUUCCAGUAUAUUGAACCUCGAAAUAGGUAUAGUUCUUUCUUUCUAUUGACCUUCUUUUUUGCUUCAUUACUUCUCUUUUGUGUGUAGGGUUUAUCGAUUUUGCAAAUGAGGCAGAUGAGAGGGCCAAGGAAGCGGAUAUUCGGGUCCACGAAUUGGAGGAGCAGAAUAAGUUGCCUGAGGAUUCUCAUCUCUACGAGUACCGAUGCGAGAAACAGAUGGCAAAUUAAUUUCUUCACCAAAUUUUCUUAAUCUUUUUAACACUUAUGUUGUUCACCUCUUAUUGAUUGUAUGAUUAAUUGUGAAAUUACCUCUGUGGGAUUUGGAAAUUUAUUAAAAGCCAUAGGUUUUGUAGGGCUAACUAACCAAAUAAGUGAUUUUGGGUAAAGGGAAAAUAUGAAGAAAGCAAAUUGAUCUUACUGAGCCGUGUAUUAUAUAAUUCCCUUGUUUUUUUUUUCCUUGAGAGACUUGUUAAUUUAGAAAAAUGGAAACUUGGAUGAUGGUAAUACAUCCUGAAAAUCAAAGUUCUUUUCAAUGAUAGAAUAGUGUCACCCACUCAACUUUGGGCUGCAUGAGUUUCUAGGACAUUUUUGGAUAAAGUAUGAACUAAGUGGGCAUGAAAAUGGAAAAUGAAUAUUAGUAAUACUGGAAGGAGAUGAAGAUGAAAAUGGAAAAUGAAUAUUAGUAAUACUGUCUGAACUUUAUGAUCCUCUUCUCUAACAUCAAUCUUUACUGCUGAGGAAUUCUGUUAUUGCUGCCGGCCUAUUCUGAAUAUGUGACUUCUUUCUGUUUUAAAUUUGCUACUUUUAUGUCGUAACUUUGAACUUUGCUUCAGAAUCUUCUCUUCCAGUUAUAUUUUGCGGUUUAUGACUUUCUAGAUUGAUUAACAUAGAAAAUAGAUAAACUAUACAGUUAACAACUGGUUGAGGAUGUAAACGCUUGACAAUGGGAGAAUGUAGUUUCAAAAUCAAAGAAAAUCCUUUGGUAACAAUUUAUAUCUCAUUUGGCCUAAUAGAAGUUUCGUUUGUAGCCAUUUGAAAUCAUAAAUUACUUUGUAUUACAAGUAACGUUUCUUUAAUUUUUCUGUCAUUUUUUAAGUUUCAAGAUUCAUGUAAUGAAUUUUCUGUUUUCAUUGGAACAUGAGGGGAAAUUGUGAUUAAUUCAGAGUUAUGACAUGCGUGUGCAGGCCCAUUCGUUUGUUUACCUCCUGUGGGAAGUCUUGUGGUCUAUUUUCCUCAAGGUCAUAGUGAACAAGUACGUCCUUUCUCUCCUUUCUCUCUAUUUCGAGAAAUAUUGUAAAUUUUCACACGAUAUCUGAUAUGUACUUGUAUAUAUUCUAUUUGUAGGUGGCAGCAUUGAUUCAAAAGGAGGCUGAGAGCAUCCCAAGUUAUCCAAACCUUCCGUCGAAGUUGAUCUCCAUGCUCCAUAAUGUCAAUUUACAUGUAUGAACACUUCCAUAGUGCAACGGAAACUUUUAAACAUUUUUUUCUCCGUGUCGAAAUUUAUUUUCUUCUUGGGUUUUAUACUAGAUAAGUACUUGAUGAUCGUCAAUUUGAUCUACUAUGCAAUAAAUCAAUAUCAAUAAUGAUGUUCAAUUUGAUCUAUCUAUGCAGUAAGUCAACAUCAGCGAUAUUUAUCUUCAAUGGCUUUAGUUGUUAUUUGACUGGAUCAAUCUUAUGUUUCUUUAUCCUCUCCUCAGUAAGUUUUUUCCCCUGCCUUCCUUUUCAUGGUACUUCAAUUUGUGAUUUUUGGCUCUUUAAGAGAGAAUAUGGAUGGGAUCAUUUUACUGUAUUUCAAGAUUUUUAUGGUGAUGAGUUUCUGGUUCAUGCCCCAAUGUUCUCUCUUUUCACAUGUGAAAAAGGAUCUUGUUUUCUUGCUGUCGUUUUUGCUGUCUCACAUCUGCUUGCAGAGUCAACCACUUGAUGGUGGCUGUAUAUGUAGUUGUACAGGCAGCUGUUCCAUCUUUAAUGUUUGUGUUGUUUCCCAUUUCAGCAUCUUGUCAGUUAUUGCUUUGACAUGUAUGAUUCACAAUUUAUGUUUAAUGUGUGUGCACAUUAUAUUGUAUUUUCACAUGCCUAACAAAUGGGGGGGGAAAAAAAAGUGCUAGCAGAUUUUGACAAUACUGUGAGUUAAUUUGUUGUACUUUAUAGUUAGGAGUUGUUUCAAAAAGUUCUCCAUAAAAAGGUUUGUGGAUUUAGAUAAAAGAUGGUGAAAUGUGUCACAUGUGGUUGAAAAGUUGAUAAAAGUUGUGUGUUCCAUGAUAUUAUGGUUAAAAUCAAUUUUUUAGCAACAUUUUUUGCUUUCCUGAACAAGCACUUUGUAGAUAAGCAUUUACUAUCCCCUUACGUAUUAGACUGCAAAUAAUUCUCUUUCUUUCCUUUUCUUUUGUCCCGUCUGUAUUUGUUCCUUUUGGCAUAAUUAUUUUCGUUCAAUCAGUGCAAGCAAUAUGAGAAGGACCUAAUGGACAUGAUCGAUAGAGAAGUGGAUGGAAGUGAUAGUCUUGAGGGGAUUUGUUCUGUGCCAUUCAAUUGCUAGUGGUACAAGCUAAGGUUUCCAAAUCCUAUCACAUUGUGCAAAUUUUCUAUGUAAAUUCCAAAAUAUGAAUGUCUUGAUUCAUAUUUGAUUUUCAUAAGAAUAUGAAACUGGUUUUGUACUGUUCACGGAAGGACAGGUCAACUGCACUGUAGAGGCCCAAUUUAUUCUCUCUGCUUUCACUGUAUAUACUCAAUGUAUCUAUCUCUUCCUUUUCAUUUCUUCCCCCAUUUAGCCAUCCUUGUUGACUAUAUAAUAGUUAUUUGCUUUCCAUGUAGCCACCAUUCUUUCUAGCUACAGUGGUUCUGCAUUGUUCAUUAAAUGAUCGCCCUAACAAAGCGUCAUUUCUUCCAUCUCUAAACCCUCUUUUUUCUUUCCCGAAUUUCAAUCCCCAUUCCCAACACACUUUAAUUCCUCCUACAACGCUAAAAACCCUUCAAUUAAUUUCAUCUCUCCAGGAAUGAGCUGGCUGUACAAGCUUAGAUUUGGUGUUCUUAACUCCACCGACUCCAUGUGGAUUCCUCUUUCGAUUCUUCCAUAGCGCAUGGGACUAGACGAUCAUGUACUCGCUCUGAGCCAUCAGUUCGUGCAAUUCGAAGGAGGUAGAGAAUAUAGUAUUGGCUUCCUCCAUUGCAAUUUAUUGUUGAGUUUUUUUAAAACAGUAUUUAAUCGUAUCCCCAAGAAAAAUUUAUGAAUUUCAGUUCAGAAAUUUGAGAAAAAAUGUGAAGUUUAGGUUUGCUUUCAUCUUAAAUGUCUUAAAAGUUUGUUCUUAUUGGCAAAAAGUUUUAAAUUUCUGCAUUUAUUUAAUUAAGCUUGCUCAUUUUUAUCACCGGCAAAACUAAGAUUUCAGAUUUUGGGUGUGGUGUGGGGCUGAGCAACAUAGGGAAGCAGCAAUGCACAAAGGUCACUCAGAUUAAAAGGCUAAUUGCUAGAAACUGGUGAAUAUAAGCACAAGGAAGAUUUGGAAAUGCUUAUAAAUUUAGAGCUGGGGAAGUUAAAUUAUGUUGAGAACGAGUUCCGGAAUUAUGAAUAUAUUGUAAGAAAAAAUAAUAAAUGAGAUUGUAUAUAAAAUAAAAAGUGGAGCAAUUUGAUUGAAUUAUGCCACUAUGAGUUUUAAUUUUUGAUUUCUUUUAUUUUUUGAUUGUCAAAUUUGUCGACGAAUAAAUGAAACAUAGGAUUGAGUUGAGUAUGACGUGGAGAAAUGUGACUAGAGAGCUUGAAACAUUGACCUCUUGAAAAUUAACUUUUGAGAACGUGAAAACUUCCAACUAGAAAGUAGAAACUGCAUGAUCGGCUGAAUAAUUUGUAAAAAGAAGUGACAAACUGUAAUUUCUCUAUUUUGUGAUUUAUGUUUUCGUGAACAUUAUUGUAGCUAGAUGUUCCUUUAGUUUAUCAUUCACAUAUUGAAAUGAGAUAUUGCACAUGCUAGAAGAAAUAUGUAAUCCUCCUUCUGGUUCUUGGCAAAAUUUGAAGGUGAGUAGAAUUUUCUGAGUACGAACUUUGUUGUUGUUGUUUUUUUUUCUGGCAAUUAUAUUUAUCUUGUGAAAAACUGUUUCAGGAUUACAUGUGAAAAUCUAGGGAUGUUUUUUUUCUCAAGUUUCUUGUGAUGAUGAUGGUAAGUUAUUUUACUCAAUACAAUUUUUUUUACUAUAGAGAUGCUAAUGGCUCCGUGCAACCUUGUUAAUGGGGUUUAUAAACAUUUGUUACUAUAUUCAGGAACCUUUGGCAUAGUUAACUAUAGUAAUUGCUAAAACAUUAAUUAUGUUGUAAGUCACAGUUGUAUUCAUCUUCAAAAUGUUUGAGCUUCUGUGCAUCCAUGAAUUUUUCUAGUCAAUUUGGUAAUUUGUUGUCCUCUUGCUCAGAUCCGGAAAUUUGAUGAUCACGAUUUGAAGAAUCUUUCGACCAGAAUAAUAUCCGGGUAUUCUUUUAUAUUUUUUCUCUUCUUUGUCUGUUUUUCUUCUCUUUUAAGGGAUUAAAUUUUCAAAGAAUGUCGUUUCUUCUUUAUCAAAAAAAAAAAAAAAACCCAAAGCAAGCACUUGGAAUUCAGUUUCUAUUUCUAAUAUAGUGUUAGAAAUUACAUUUGUGCCUUUGUAACCUAUACAAUGCUCAAAUCUUGAACUUCUUACUUCUUAGAGGGAUUUAACUCUUACAGUAUCGUAAUUUUUACUACUAAAAUCUAAGAAUUCGUACAAUAAUAUCUUUACGAAAGUAACUAUCUUAUGAAAUAAUAAACUUUUUUCUUUGUAAAUCAAUAAAUUCAGGUAAAGGAAUACAAGCACAGCCCAUCAAGAAGGCCACGUAGGAGCCGCCGUAGAAUAUCGUAAUUCUUACUACUGAAAUCUAAGAAUUCGU